Molecule: small RNA, 436 nt
Filed under: Oryza sativa Japonica Group (Japanese rice)
Lineage: Eukaryota; Viridiplantae; Streptophyta; Magnoliopsida; Poales; Poaceae
Description: sRNA Os12g0165766
Source: RNAcentral
GGUCUGCAGGAUAAUCACCGGUGCUUUCCAGGGAGGCCGCCUCCGCCCUUGCGGAUGAAGGCGUUUCUAUUUUUCGGCUUUGGUAUGUCGUGGAUAUCCAUCACUUGAAUUGUCCUCUGCUUUUUUGCAUUUUGUGCUUCCUGGUAGUUUUCCUGGAGUCUCUUUCUGGCAGAAUCAAGCUUCUCAAGAUCCAUAAGAUUAUCUUUCUGCUCCCUUACACCUUACAACUGGAGCAGAGGAGGAAGUAGUAGAAUAGCCGAUGCUGUUGUUCUGUUUGUUGUUAUGAUAUGUAGGUGCUGGGCUUGUUCUGCGCUUCUCAAUCAUUGAUUCGACGCCAUUAUUAUUGCUAGAUCUCUCUGAACUCAAACCAUUAUGUCUCUGUGGGCUGGGAGAAUACUUGAAGUCUGAAACCUGCAACGGCAUAAUAAUAACAGAG